This 304-nucleotide long non-coding RNA is filed under the name Brassica napus (rape). RNAcentral's name for it is "long non-coding RNA (BNAP_LNC006579)". The record is from RNAcentral. Lineage: Eukaryota; Viridiplantae; Streptophyta; Magnoliopsida; Brassicales; Brassicaceae.
GAGUUCAGCUAUCCCCCUCUCUAAAAAGGGGGGGGGGGGGGGGGGGGGGUUGUUUCAUCGGCGUGUAGAUCCUCUUAAUGGAUAGUGGGUGGAGAAGAGCCAACAUUAUCCUUUAGCUGCGGAAUGGUAUCAAUAUCCACUAAAGGGACAACAUAGCUAGUGUCUAUAGAAGGUGAUGUAAAGGCAGAAACCUGAACAGUUGAUGAAGGUACAAGACACCUCUUCUCUUUAUGUCCUAGAUUUCCACACCUCUCACACCUCGAUGGAAUCCAUGUGUACUCAAUAUUUACAAGGAAAAUGUUAC